Molecule: long non-coding RNA, 1591 nt
Organism: Pecten maximus
Lineage: Eukaryota; Metazoa; Mollusca; Bivalvia; Pectinida; Pectinidae
Exons: 2
Source: RefSeq, a predicted model, not a curated record
AAGAAGCCGACAAGAAAGGAAAUGAGAGAUAAAAUAGUUUUUAUUUAUUAAAACAAUCUAUGAUUUGUUGAUUUUUUUUAUUUAGGAAUAUUUUGUGGUCUGAUAUAGAUGGUUGUGACAGGUAAUAUUGAGCCGACAAGAAGAAUAGAUCUACCGACAAGAGGCUUGAAUUAACGACAAGAAGCCGAUAAGAUAGAAAAUGAAAUACAAAAUAGUUGCUUUUUUAAUUAAUUUAUUAAUACAAUGUUUGAUAUGCUUUUUUUUUUUUCUCUCUCUCUUUCUUUUCUAUUUUUGAUUGUUUUGUGGUGUCUGAUACAAUGGUGGUGACAGGGAAAAUUGAGCCGACAAGAAAAAUAGAUCUACCGACAAGAAGCUGGAAUUACCGACAAGAUGACGAUAAGAGACAAAGUAUGUAUAUAUUAUUCUUUAUUUCUUAGUUGUUUUUUGUUUUUGUUUUCAUGUAUUUGUUUUGCAUUCGAAGUUAAACAUAUUCUGUUGGUGAAUGUUUUUGGUCUCAACAGUUAAAUAUUCCACCACUGACGGUCCCACCAGACUCACUGAAGUUUUAUUUUUUUAAGCGAUAGAGUUUUUGCAUUUAUUGUGCGUUUUCUUUGCCCAGGUUUACGUGCCAAAGAUUGAGUUUGUGGGAUUGUGAGACUACCAUCCGUUGACUUAGGAAUCUUUGCAGUGUGAUUUAGAACAUUGGAGGCUGCUUACUGGUGGACUUAACUCGAAGUCCCCAUGGCCGUAUAAUGCCACCAUGUAUUAAACUUUCUUGUACAUACAGACGAAAAACAUGUAUAUAAACAUUUUGUCAUGUCUAAUAUUUUGUCGCGGUUCUUCAAAGAUAUUCAGUUCGGGUGCUGGUAUUAUGUGUUUUCACUGCAUAGGAAGCCAGCCAGUUAAGUGUAUGUUGUCAUUGUGUAAGAUUUCGCUGGUCAUUAUUACUCUUGGCAGAAAUUUGUGUAUACAAGUUACCCGUGGACGCGUGUGUCCCCUAAGGUCAAUCGGCACGUGGCUCAUAGGUGAAGGUAUGAUAGUAUAAUUUCUAAAUAUGGGCCCGCCCACAUCGCCAAUUACUAUUUUUCAUUAUCUGGUAGUUGGUGUCAGAAUUAAUUCAUUGCAACAAUUUCUAAUAAUCAAUCUACACGAACUUAUAUAAAAUAAAAAUAAAUUGUGAUUUACCUUUUUAAAAUUAGUACGAAAUUUGGAAUAUAUCAUGGGUAGUUUUCUAAUCAAUACAAAAUUAACAUUGAAGUUAUUCCAUUAUCAUAUCAUUUAAUAAAUUUUCUUUUAAAUAUAUACAUAUUAUUAAAUUGUUAAUUGUUCAAUAUAUUCCAGUACAUAUAAUUAAAUUAGUAUGUACGAAGAAAUAACCUUUCUAUUCUUUCUUGUCGGCUUCUUGUCGGUAAUUCUAACUUCUUGUCUGUUCCCGUUCAAUGCAGUGAAAUUAUUAGAAACGAAGAUACAGAAACAAUUGUAUCAAUCAUUUUCUGGUAAUGCAAUCAUUGUCGAUAUAUACAUGUAUUACUACAUUGUACGUGUAAUUAAAUUAGUAUAAAUCAAGAAAUAAAAAAGAUCGUAUUGUUCA